CCUAAGCCGAGGCCGAAAGGCGUAGGCGAUGGACAACAGGUUGAUAUUCCUGUACCACUACCAUCGUUAUUAUCGAGGGUGUGACGGAGAAGGAUAGUGUGUGCUAGCGAUUGGAAAUGCUAGUCUAAGCGUUUAGGCAGUUACGGUAGGCAAAUCCGCUGUAACGUUAAUGCUGAGGCGUGAUGGGGAAGGCCCUUGAGGCUGAAGUACAUGAUUCCAUGCUUCCAAGAAAAGCAUCUAGAGAGAGAAGUAGUGCCCGUACCGCAAACCGACACAGGUAGAUGAGGAGAGAAUCCUAAGGCCGGCGGAAGAAUUGCAGUUAAGGAACUAGGCAAAUUGACCCCGUAAGUUAGCGAGAAGGGGUGCCUGCGAGAGCAGGCCGCAGAGAAUAGGCCCAAGGAACUGUUUAGCAAAAACACAGGUCUCUGCUAAAGCGCAAGCUGAUGUAUAGGGGCUGACGCCUGCCCGGUGCUGGAAGGUUAAGGGGAACACUUAGCGCAAGCGAAGGUGUGAACUUAAGCCCCAGUAAACGGCAGCCGUAACAAUAACGGUCCUAAGGUAGCGAAAUUCCUUGUCAGGUAAGUUCUGACCCGCACGAAUGGCGUAAUGACUUGGGCACUGUCUCAACUGCAAAUCCGGCGAAGUUGUAGUGCGAGUGAAGAUGCUCGCUACCCGCGAUUGGACGGAAAGACCCCGUAGAGCUUUACUGUAGCUUAGCAUUGAAUUCCGGUAUUGUCUGUACAGGAUAGGUGGGAGACUGGGAAACUAGGGCGUCAGCCUUAGUGGAGUCGUCCUUGGGAUACCACCCUGACAGUACUGGGGUUCUAACAGGACGCCAUGAAUCUGGUGACUGGACAUUGUUAGGUGGGCAGUUUGACUGGGGCGGUCGCCUCCUAAAAAGUAACGGAGGCGCCCAAAGGUUCCCUCAGAACGGUCGGAAAUCGUUCGUAGAGUGCAAAGGCAGAAGGGAGCCUGACUGCGAGACCUACAAGUCGAGCAGGGACGAAAGUCGGGCUUAGUGAUCCGGUGGUACCUCGUGGGAGGGCCAUCGCUCAACGGAUAAAAGCUACCUCGGGGAUAACAGGCUGAUCUCCCCCAAGAGUCCACAUCGACGGGGAGGUUUGGCACCUCGAUGUCGGCUCGUCGCAUCCUGGGGCUGUAGUAGGUCCCAAGGGUUGGGCUGUUCGCCCAUUAAAGCGGCACGCGAGCUGGGUUCAGAACGUCGUGAGACAGUUCGGUCCCUAUCCGUCGCGGGCGUAGGAAAUUUGAGAGGAGCUGUCCUUAGUACGAGAGGACCGGGAUGGACUGACCUCUGGUGCACCAGUUGUUCUGCCAAGAGCAUGGCUGGGUAGCUAAGUCGGGAAGGGAUAAACGCUGAAGGCAUCUAAGCGUGAAGCCUCCCUCAAGAUGAGAUUUCCCAUAGCAUAAGCUAGUAAGACCCCUUGAAGAACACGAGGUUGAUAGGUCAGAGGUGUAAGUGUGGUAACAUAUUUAGCUGACUGAUACUAAUAGGUCGAGGGCUUGAUC
Molecule: ribosomal RNA, 1527 nt
Filed under: metagenome
Description: bacterial LSU rRNA
Rfam family: Bacterial large subunit ribosomal RNA
Source: RNAcentral